CAGUCGCCGCGGUAAUACGAAGGGGGCUAGCGUUGUUCGGAUUUACUGGGCGUAAAGCGCACGUAGGCGGACUUUUAAGUCAGGGGUGAAAUCCCGGGGCUCAACCCCGGAACUGCCUUUGAUACUGGAAGUCUUGAGUAUGGUAGAGGUGAGUGGAAUUCCGAGUGUAGAGGUGAAAUUCGUAGAUAUUCGGAGGAACACCAGUGGCGAAGGCGGCUCACUGGACCAUUACUGACGCUGAGGUGCGAAAGCGUGGGGAGCAAACAGGAUUAGAGACCCCAGUAGUCCCUGUCUCUUAUAC
This 301-nucleotide ribosomal RNA is filed under the name uncultured bacterium. RNAcentral describes it as "partial 16S ribosomal RNA". It matches the Rfam family "Bacterial small subunit ribosomal RNA", at positions 509 to 807 of the family's 1533-position model. The record is from RNAcentral.